CUACAGCGGACCAUAUCAGGGAAGAAACUCCUUUUUUGUGGCGACAAAUGUCAUUGUAACAAAGAACCAAAAACAAGGUAAUUGCCCCGAGGUUCUACCACAUGGGAAACUGUGUCGAACAGAUAAAGACUGUGAGAAAGGGUUUUCUGACCAACAUAGCCAUGGUGUUCAAACAGGUGGCUGUGUGAAGUUAGAUGUACUAAAGAAAACGUGUGAAGUUACAGCUUGGUGCCCCAUUGAGAACAAGAGGAAUCCCAGGUCUGCUCUUUUGGCAUC
Molecule: long non-coding RNA, 276 nt
Organism: Sinocyclocheilus rhinocerous
Lineage: Eukaryota; Metazoa; Chordata; Actinopteri; Cypriniformes; Cyprinidae
Exons: 5
Source: RefSeq, a predicted model, not a curated record